This is a long non-coding RNA of Gadus chalcogrammus (walleye pollock), 3646 nucleotides long. RefSeq lists it as uncharacterized. The transcript has 7 exons. NCBI's taxonomy places the organism in Eukaryota, Metazoa, Chordata, Actinopteri, Gadiformes, Gadidae. The record is from RefSeq and is a predicted model, not a curated record.
AGCUCAGGCAACAGCCAGCUCGAUGAUAGGUGUCUUUGCUCUACCUCCUGAGCCCCCAACGUCCUACUGCGCCGCUGCCGUCCGUCAAAAAGGACAUCCAAAUCAUGUUGUGAUUGGUAGGCUGGACACAAAAAGUGUGUGUGUGUGUGGGGGCGGGUGCAGGUGGUUUAACUUAUUUAAGAGUGGCGCAAGAGUUACAAUCAUGUGGGAGUCGGUAGAAAGUGGGGGAGAGAAAGAGACAAUGGAAGAAGCAUUGAUUCUCGAGAUUAUGGACUUCAAAGUCAAUAAUAGGUUACCUGAUGCCGGCCUAACAAAACAAUAGAGAUGCACGAUAUAAAGAAGAUAACACUUUGCUCAAGGCUUUUCUGACCAGAUGGAGAGCUUCAUUACGUUUGUAGAAGACGGAAGGAGAGCGAGCGUUUGGAUAAGGUAGUCACCUCAGCUGCCAAGGCCAACAUAAUAUUCGAAGAAAUGCUCUACAGUUCUAUCACUACGAUGUGGAGAAAAACGCACAAUGCGGUGAUCAGCCGAAACGACUGGCCUGGCAUGGAGGCGGACAUCCGCAAAUGGACUACAGAAAGGGAAGUCUGGGGCCCGCUGCUUGAGCUGCUCCCCCCGCGACCCAACCCCGGAUAUAUAUAUGAAGAUGAGAUGAGGAGAGAUGAUAAUUGACUUCAGGUGGCCCAGUGUCCUGAGUGCCAAAGAAAUCAGGCCAGUCUCAAAGAAAGUACCCAGUACUGUACCACCAGAGGUAACAACCAUUUGAGCUGGUGGGGAGGAACCUCAUGAGGCGCAGUUUAACAGAGUGGUAAUCAUUACAUUUGUGUGAUGGUUGAUUAUUUCACCAAGUGGGCAGCGGCCUACCCUCUGAAGAGUAAGUCUGCAGAGGAGGUGAGCAAUUGUAUUCUUGAUACAACUUUAAGAACCAGGUAGCUAGAGAACCUUCCGUAUAUCUUGGGGAUAAGGAACUGCAGCCUGCAAUUUUCAGCAUCAGGACCAAGAACUAGUUAACAAAAAAGUAUAGCCCAUCUUUUGUUGUUGUUUGGCAGGAAGGCAAAUACCCAUCUUAUGUGCCACAGAACCUAAGGUGACACUGAGAAGGUGGAGCGUUUGCUGAUGAGGGAGGCGGUUUUUAAAGGACUCUCAAAGCAGACAAACGUACAUAAAACUAAAAUACAGUCCUACAAGCGUCCAAAAGAAGCAGGAGAAAAUCCGUAAACUGAAGCUGGAGAUCGUGUGCUCAAAAAAGGUGGAGUAACGCAGUAAAAAGGGGUCUCGCUGGGGCCUUUCAAAAUAAUCGCACUUUGCCAUGCUGGCGGGGGCAAAUAUCGACCUCCUCACCCCCUUCAUUGAGCCAGAGGAGCGUCAAGAGAUAAUACCAGGGGAGAGUCAGCCCACCCAAAGUAAUGUUUUCCAACAAAUAUGGACUAGGGAAAAGGGGAGAUUCUGUGUUCCAAAAUCGGGCCAUGUAUCAAAUAUUCUCGGCAGAUUCCCAGAGCCAGGCCCCCGGGAAGGAAUUGGAGAGAGAGAGCUAGAUAUGAUGGAGUGGGACAUCCGAUGCUCAUCGGGGCGGUCUGCAAGGAUGGAAAUUGGACAUUGCCCUUUAAUUAUUGCAAUUGAUGAAUCUAUAAGGAAAAGAUCUCUCAACAUUUCUCGAUAAUGAGACUACAUCUAAGGAGUGGAGUUUGUUUAGAUCUCCCUUUCUCUUUCUCUCUCUCUUAUAUAUACAUUGACAUCCACCCCUCCAUGGGACCACAUAGACAUUAUUAUUUGGUCAAGGUUCAACUGUCAUGUCUAGCGUUUUGGAAAAGGCCUGUAGCUAUCCAACCUUUCACUAAGGUUUCUACUAAUUCUUAAAGAAAAUGUUACAGUUGUAGAUGAAUUGUCAACAAUCAACCACUAACAAAUUAAUCAGUUCAGAGUAACAAGCAACCUAUUGCUACUGCUUGCCCUAAGGGCAGCAGUUGACACAGCAGUCCGAAAGUAUACUCAACGUCUACACUGGCAGUCUGCACAGCACAUAACCCUCAUAGGAGUAUAGCCUUGUGCUAGCAGCUAGACACAGGCUGGUUGGGUAUUGUUGAACAUGUAGUCGCUUAAACCACGCUGUGCUAUAGAGCCUCUACUGGUGGGACAUAUAGUACAUUAAACAACACUGUCCUAGACACGGCCUUUACUGGGGGGCACGGUGGGUCAUGUGGUCCAGUAAACUACACUGUUGCUUCCUGCAUUAUAUCCUUUAUGAUUAUCUGUUUCUAUCGUAUUGUCUGACCACAGGCUUUAUAUUGGAGGGAAUAGUCAAACAGCGCAUGUGCUUGUGUCUAUAUAGUCAUAUAUUCUGUACUUAUUUCCUGCCUUUUUUUUGUUUACCUUUUCAGAUUUGACUGAACCACUUUGGCUAUAACGCGGGUUCAAUUAAAUUACGCUUGACUUAGUUUGUAUCAAAAGUUUUUUUUUAUUGCAUCAACACGUGUGGGUAUAUCUCAAUACAGAUUGGUUUUUCUGACUUGCAUUUCAAAUUUUCCUUAGUUUGAUAAAUAUUGCUGUUUUAAAUGUUUGUCUCACCUAAGCCGCAUGCCAACAUUGUAUUUAAUUUACUUUUUAUAUUUUCUUUUUACAUAUCUUUGAUUAGAUUCAUCUAUAUACUAUGUACAAGAUAAAAAUACCAUGACGCUAAUAAUAAAUUCCUUCUGUUUUUAUGGAUGUAUGAUAUAUUUAUGGUCACGUCAUAACUGAGUCCAAUGUGUUUAAAAUCCCUCCUCCUUACAUCGUCAUGCAAGGCUGUUUUUCAAUGGCACCUUUUUGUUAAGCGAACAUUUUUCAAUUAACGUUGAAUGCUGGUUUCAUGGGACCUUGUGGAGGCCAGCAGGCCAAAGGUGGAAAUACAUGCUCCAUUACUUCACUUCCAGUGUACAGAGAAUAUCAAAGACAUAGAAUAGCAUACAUUUUACGACAGUAAAGAACACGGAGUACAUUCCAUACAAAAACAGAGUGGGACUAAAACUAAAUAUUGUGUCAAGUUGAACCAAGAGACACGAUCAAUACUACAUGAUGAAACAUAAGAUGAAACGCUGCUGAUGGCGUGACCUUAUAUUUGCAUAUAUUCAUGAAAUAUCUCCUACCACAUUCUCAUUUGAGUCAAAGCUGGUAGAACCGGAGAAUGGCUCUUCAAAUUCCACAAUAAGUCAAAACAUGGAUUCAAUUAGAGCCUGUCCUUUCAAAUUGUGCUGUCAUAGAAUAAACAAACUACAAAGACAAUUCCUUGUGUUUUUAGAAUAAUUCAAAACUUCAGGAAGAGAAUGAAGUGGGUGUUCCAGUGUUUUUCAUGUUUACGUGAACACUCGUACAGGUUCUCGCUCUCUCUUGCUCUCAUGUCUUUUCCAAACACAAGCAUGUUAGGGCUCAUGUUAGGGAUCAUGUUAGGGAUUAUGUUAGGGCUCAUGUUAGGGUGCAUGUUCGGGUACAUGUAGGGUGCAUGUUUGGGUACAUGUAGGGUGUGUGAGGAUGCUCAGCAGGGUGCUGCUAUAAAGCAGCAUGUGAGGUGUGUUCAGUGAGUUAAACCCUGAGUUAAAUCAAGUUUAAAUCAGUACGUAUUUCUUGGGUUAAACAAUACAGUAUAUAGUAGGCUGAAUUUCCCACAGGCUUG